AUUAAAAGUAUUUUCUGCUCAGUGUUUAUAAAUAGCUGCGGUAAUUUGACCGUGCAAAGGUAGCAUAAUCAUUUGCUUCAUAAUUGGGGGCUAGUAUGAAUGGAAAUAUGAAAAUUUUUCUUUCUUUUUAUUUUUUUAAAAAAUUGUAGUUAAUGUGAAGAUACAUUAUUUUUAAUAAAAGACAAGAAGACCCUUUUGAGCUUUUAUUUAGUUGGGGCGAUUAAAGAAGACUUCUUUUUAUUUUGACCCAAAGUUUUUUGGUUUUUAGAAUUAGUUACCAAAGGGAUAACAGCGUAAUUUUUUUUAAGAGUUCUAAUUAAAAAAAAAGAUUGCGAC
This 336-nucleotide ribosomal RNA is filed under the name Oerstedia dorsalis. RNAcentral describes it as "partial 16S ribosomal RNA". It matches the Rfam family "Bacterial large subunit ribosomal RNA", at positions 1845 to 2524 of the family's 2925-position model. Lineage: Eukaryota; Metazoa; Nemertea; Enopla; Monostilifera; Oerstediidae. The record is from RNAcentral.